RNAcentral lists this ribosomal RNA (206 nucleotides) under uncultured bacterium. RNAcentral describes it as "partial 16S ribosomal RNA". It matches the Rfam family "Bacterial small subunit ribosomal RNA", at positions 1287 to 1500 of the family's 1533-position model. The record is from RNAcentral.
CUCAGUUCGGAUCGGAGUCUGCAACCCGACUCCGUGAAGCUGGAUUCGCUAGUAAUCGCGCAUCAGCCAUGGCGCGGUGAAUACGUUCCCGGGCCUUGUACACACCGCCCGUCAAGCCAUGGGAGCCGGGGGCGCCUGAAGUCCGGGACCGCGAGGACCGGCCUAGGGCGAAACUGGUAACUGGGGCUAAGUCGUAACAAGGUAGC